ACGAACGCUGGCGGCGUGCUUAACACAUGCAAGUCGAGCGGUAAGGCCCUUUCGGGGGUACGACGAGCGGCGAACGGGUGAGUAACACGUGGGUGACCUGCCCUCAGCUCUGGGAUAAGCCUGGGAAACCGGGUCUAAUACUGGAUAUGACUCCAUGACGCAUGUUGUGGGGUGGAAAGCCUUGUGCGGCUGAGGAUGGGCCCGCGGCCUAUCAGCUUGUUGGUGGGGUGAUGGCCUACCAAGGCGACGACGGGUAGCCGGCCUGAGAGGGCGACCGGCCACACUGGGACUCGAGACACGGCCCAGACUCCUACGGGAGGCAGCAGUGGGGAAUCUUGCGCAAUGGGCGAAAGCCUGACGCAGCGACGCCGCGUGAGGGAUGACGGCCUGG
This 391-nucleotide ribosomal RNA is filed under the name uncultured bacterium. RNAcentral's name for it is "bacterial SSU rRNA". It matches the Rfam family "Bacterial small subunit ribosomal RNA", at positions 29 to 419 of the family's 1533-position model. The record is from RNAcentral.